RNAcentral lists this ribosomal RNA (255 nucleotides) under uncultured bacterium. RNAcentral describes it as "partial 16S ribosomal RNA". It matches the Rfam family "Bacterial small subunit ribosomal RNA", at positions 190 to 447 of the family's 1533-position model. The record is from RNAcentral.
UGGUUAAGAUAUCAAAGCUCUGGCGGUACAGGAUGGACCCGCGUCUGAUUAGCUAGUUGGUGAGGUAAUGGCUCACCAAGGCGACGAUCAGUAGCCGACCUGAGAGGGUGAUCGGCCACACUGGAACUGAGACACGGUCCAGACUCCUACGGGAGGCAGCAGUGGGGAAUAUUGCACAAGGGGCGAAAGCCUGAUGCAGCAACGCCGCGGACCUUAUAAAGGCCUUCGGGUCGUAAAGCUCUGUCCUCAAGGAAG